CUGCGGACGGGUGAGUAACACGUGGGUAACCUACCUAUAAGACUGGGACAACUUCGGGAAACCGGAGCUAAUACCGGAUAAGAUAUCGAACCGCAUGGUUCGAUAGUGAAAGAUGGUUUUGCUAUCACUUAUAGAUGGACCCGCGCCGUAUUAGCUAGUUGGUGAGGUAACGGCUCACCAAGGCAACGAUACGUAGCCGACCUGAGAGGGUGAUCGGCCACACUGGAACUGAGACACGGUCCAGACUCCUACGGGAGGCAGCAGCC
Molecule: ribosomal RNA, 266 nt
Filed under: uncultured Staphylococcus sp.
Lineage: Bacteria; Bacillati; Bacillota; Bacilli; Caryophanales; Staphylococcaceae
Description: partial 16S ribosomal RNA
Rfam family: Bacterial small subunit ribosomal RNA
Source: RNAcentral